AGGCAAUGGACUUCUGGAGUGGAGAGUGGACGGUGACUCUCUGGAAGCGAUGUGGACGUCUUGCUGCCUCUGUUAGGUGUUCACACGUGCUUUCUCAGCUCUCCACACAGGGACAGCCCCCGGGUGCAGAUGAAAACAAUUGAGGACCAGAAAUCUGUCACCUGUGCCUUUGGCUAGGAACAGGAGCAGAGGACGGUGUCGUGUGAGCCAGCCAGGGAGGGCACAGCCUCAAUCGCCUUCCUCUGUGAUGACCUGCCUGCCUCUGGCUUUCAGCCAGCACCACCGCACCCCCUGCCCAGGCCUCCAGAGAAAACACCUCGAAAUUGUCUCCCAAGUCAUGGAACCUUUCCCAAGGGACCAGGGAAGGUCCAGAGUCCGAUCUGACUGCCCACUGGGCUGCAAGAACUCUCCCUGGCUUUCAGCGGAGCCAUCUGCCGCUAGGACUGUGAGUCUCCAGGCAGAAGCUGCCGUGACAAGUCCUGGCUAUGUCACUGUACUUAUCAACAGAACACCACAUCUGCCUACCCUGACACCAACAAUGUACCCACAGAGGCCAGAAGAGGGCGUCAGAUCUGUGGAAAUUGGAGUUACAGGCAUAUGGGUGCUGAGAACCAAACUUCCAUCCUCAGCAACAGUAAACUGGGGUUAUCGGAGAGUACUGCCCAACUGAGAUUUUUACAGAGCACUGAGGAUCCAGACUGAUGUUCUCUCACUUUGUGGUAAGUAUUUACACACUGAU
Molecule: non-coding RNA, 739 nt
Organism: Rattus norvegicus (Norway rat)
Lineage: Eukaryota; Metazoa; Chordata; Mammalia; Rodentia; Muridae
Source: RefSeq, a predicted model, not a curated record